UAUAUCACAACAAACCAGAUCUGUGUCCAGCAGUCCUGAGCCAACUGGGGUAUUCGUGCUCCGGUUGUGUUUCGGUUGUUAGUGCUGGACAGCUCGACGAUUCAUGGAGCCAUCAUGGAAAAAAUGUUAUUUUAUCCUCAAAACAAUGGUGUCAAUUUCCGGUCGACAGAUCUCAGAGAGAUUCUCAGCGGCCCGGUUCUCUUCUUUUGGAAGAAUUAACACUCUGCCUUGAGCUCCCUUUCCGUUUCGGCGGGUUGGUGAAUUCGGUGAGAUGGCCGGGUUCUUUGCUGAGGGCGUCAUAUUCCACCUCCCUUUACCGAUUUCGUCCCUUUUAUUCCCGUUGCUUGGGGAAGGGAUGUGGCCGUCGGCUGAUGAGGUUAGGGAAAAACCAUGACUUGCCAACAUCU
RNAcentral lists this small RNA (407 nucleotides) under Emergomyces pasteurianus Ep9510. Its description in RNAcentral is "Emergomyces pasteuriana Ep9510 A. fumigatus sRNA Afu_309". It matches the Rfam family "A. fumigatus sRNA Afu_309". Lineage: Eukaryota; Fungi; Ascomycota; Eurotiomycetes; Onygenales; Ajellomycetaceae. The record is from Rfam by way of RNAcentral.